RNAcentral lists this ribosomal RNA (150 nucleotides) under Candidatus Competibacteraceae bacterium. Its description in RNAcentral is "partial 23S ribosomal RNA". It matches the Rfam family "Bacterial large subunit ribosomal RNA", at positions 1 to 156 of the family's 2925-position model. The record is from RNAcentral. Lineage: Bacteria; Pseudomonadati; Pseudomonadota; Gammaproteobacteria; Candidatus Competibacteraceae.
GGAUCAAGCGACCAAGCGCAUGCGGUGAAUGCCUUGGCGACCACAGGCGAUGAAAGACGUGACAGCCUGCGAAAAGCUCCGGGGAGUUGGCAAAUAAGCAUUGAUCCGGAGAUCUCUGAAUGGGGAAACCCACCCGUAAGGGUAUCCAUU